This 296-nucleotide ribosomal RNA is filed under the name uncultured bacterium. RNAcentral's name for it is "partial 16S ribosomal RNA". It matches the Rfam family "Bacterial small subunit ribosomal RNA", at positions 333 to 646 of the family's 1533-position model. The record is from RNAcentral.
ACUCUCCUACGGGACGCAGCAGUGGGGGAUAUUGCACAAUGGGGGGAACCCUGAUGCAGCGACGCCGCGUGGGUGAAGGAGCGUUUCGGCGCGUAAAGCCCUAUCGGCAGGGAAGAAGAUGACGGUACCUGACCAAGAAGCCCCGGCUAACUACGUGCCAGCAGCCGCGGUAAUACGUAGGGGGCAAGCGUUAUCCGGAUUUACUGGGUGUAAAGGGGGCGCAGACGGCCAAGCAAGCCAGGGGUGAAAGCCCGGGGCCCAACCCCGGGGCUGCCCUUGGAACUGCAUGGCUGGAG